AUGGGAUUAGCUAGUAGGUGGGGUAACGGCUCACCUAGGCGACGAUCCCUAGCUGGUCUGAGAGGAUGACCAGCCACACUGGAACUGAGACACGGUCCAGACUCCUACGGGAGGCAGCAGUGGGGAAUAUUGCACAAUGGGCGCAAGCCUGAUGCAGCCAUGCCGCGUGUAUGAAGAAGGCCUUCGGGUUGUAAAGUACUUUCAGCGGGGAGGAAGGGAGUAAAGUUAAUACCUUUGCUCAUUGACGUUACCCGCAGAAGAAGCACCGGCUAACUCCGUGCCAGCAGCCGCGGUAAUACGGAGGGUGCAAGCGUUAAUCGGAAUUACUGGGCGUAAAGCGCACGCAGGCGGUUUGUUAAGUCAGAUGUGAAAUCCCCGGGCUCAACCUGGGAACUGCAUCUGAUACUGGCAAGCUUGAGUCUCGUAGAGGGGGGUAGAAUUCCAGGUGUAGCGGUGAAAUGCGUAGAGAUCUGGAGGAAUACCGGUGGCGAAGGCGGCCCCCUGGACGAAGACUGACGCUCAGGUGCGAAAGCGUGGGGAGCAAACGGGAUUAGAUACCCUGGUAGUCCACGCCGUAAACGAUGUCGACUUGGAGGUUGUGCCCUUGAGGCGUGGCUUCCGGAGCUAACGCGUUAAGUCGACCGCCUGGGGAGUACGGCCGCAAGGUUAAAACUCAAAUGGAUUGACGGGGGCCCGCACAAGCGGUGGAGCAUGUGGUUUAAUUCGAUGCAACGCGAAGAACCUUACCUGGUCUUGACAUCCACGGAAGUUUUCAGAGAUGAGAAUGUGCCUUCGGGAACCGUGAGACAGGUGCUGCAUGGCUGUCGUCAGCUCGUGUUGUGAAAUGUUGGGUUAAGUCCCGCAACGAGCGCAACCCUUAUCCUUUGUUGCCAGCGGUCCGGCCGGGAACUCAAAGGAGACUGCCAGUGAUAAACUGGAGGAAGGUGGGGAUGACGUCAAGUCAUCAUGGCCCUUACGACCAGGGCUACACACGUGCUACAAUGGCGCAUACAAAGAGAAGCGACCUCGCGAGAGCAAGCGGACCUCAUAAAGUGCGUCGUAGUCCGGAUUGGAGUCUGCAACUCGACUCCAUGAAGUCGGAAUCGCUAGUAAUCGUGGAUCAGAAUGCCACGGUGGAUACGUUCCCGGGCCUUGUACACACCGCCCGUCACACCAUGGGAGUGGGUUGCAAAAGAAGUAGGUAGCUUAACCUUCGGGAGGGCGCUUACCACUUUGUGAUUCAUGACUGGGGUGAAGUCGUAACAAGGUA
This 1270-nucleotide ribosomal RNA is filed under the name metagenome. RNAcentral describes it as "bacterial SSU rRNA". It matches the Rfam family "Bacterial small subunit ribosomal RNA", at positions 235 to 1498 of the family's 1533-position model. The record is from RNAcentral.